UACGUAGGGCGCAAGCGUUGUCCGGAAUUAUUGGGCGUAAAGAGCUCGUAGGCGGCUUGUCACGUCGGGUGUGAAAGCCCGGGGCUUAACCCCGGGUCUGCAUUCGAUACGGGCUAGCUAGAGUGUGGUAGGGGAGAUCGGAAUUCCUGGUGCAGCGGUGAAAUGCGCAGAUAUCAGGAGGAACACCGGUGGCGAAGGCGGAUCUCUGGGCCAUUACUGACGCUGAGGAGCGAAAGCGUGGGGAGCGAACAGG
Molecule: ribosomal RNA, 253 nt
Filed under: uncultured bacterium
Lineage: Bacteria
Description: partial 16S ribosomal RNA
Rfam family: Bacterial small subunit ribosomal RNA
Source: RNAcentral